UCACGAGUCACCUCUGUGUUUUCCAUGUGCCUUAGCACUUUCUAGGAGGAUCAACCCGGGCAGAGAGGUGAAAUUGAGUGGUCUGUAGUUUUCUGGGAUUCCUAUUUUCCCUUUUUAAAAAUGGAGUUUAUGUUUCCACUUUUCCUGUCACUGGAACAAUGGUUGUGCCCUUAUGAUUAGAGUGUUUCAGCAGAACAGCAAGCAAUGGGGCUUCUAUCUUACCAUGGUUUCUUACUAACAGGUGAGCAGUGUAGGAGAAACAUACGGUGUCCUUAGAGGCAGGUUAUUCAUGCCUCUUAUUCAGACAGCUGGCUAACUUCCUUCAGUAUGCCUCAUCUCACAAACCCAG
Long non-coding RNA from Oxyura jamaicensis (ruddy duck), 349 nucleotides. RefSeq lists it as uncharacterized. The transcript is spliced from 3 exons. Lineage: Eukaryota; Metazoa; Chordata; Aves; Anseriformes; Anatidae. The record is from RefSeq and is a predicted model, not a curated record.